This is a long non-coding RNA of Eucalyptus grandis, 669 nucleotides long. RefSeq lists it as uncharacterized. The record is from RefSeq and is a predicted model, not a curated record. The transcript is spliced from 2 exons. Lineage: Eukaryota; Viridiplantae; Streptophyta; Magnoliopsida; Myrtales; Myrtaceae.
GUACAGCCGGGCGCAGUACCAGAUCUUUCGGGCUCCUCUCUCGCCUAUUAAAGCUCCAAGGAAUCCGCCACCGGUAAGGCACAGUAUCGUCGUCCGGUGCAUCCGCCGGCGGAGAUUGCAGGGGGGGCUCGAGUGCGGGUUUUGGCCGAGGGCCCUACAGGAGCGACCUGAGAUCACAUGCGGGCGCGUGCGUCGGCCGGCCGCCCGGUGAUAUGCCGUCGCCCCUUGGCAUUUGCGUCGCAUGUGUUCUCAGGUCGCCCCUGCCGGGCCAUCCUCGGCCAUCGGCCAACGGAGUGCGGCUGUUCGGCGGUGCAUCUUGGUUGGAGUUGGGCUUGCUUCUUCCGGCAGAUGCGGAAGACGAUGCUCCCGGAUUCAGUGCGGCUUUGCAUGGUUAUAAAAAUCAAGGAGGAUUUUGUUAACGAGUAUCCAACGACACCUGAAGCAAGCAACAUUUGCAAUUUUCAAUGUAGUACAUCAUUUCACAGUUGUUAGAUUUAGAUUCUCAUUAUUAUGCGGUUUAAAUUUUUACGGUCAUGUAUAUUUUGGCGACAUCCUAAUUUGAGCUCCGCAAUAAAAGUAAGGUUCGAAUAAAUGGUUGUGAUUGUAAAUUUUUUAUUGUAUGAGGUACAAAAAAAAUAUAUCUAUUCAAAUAUAUUGUUAGUUGCGGUA